This is a long non-coding RNA of Peromyscus eremicus (cactus mouse), 887 nucleotides long. RefSeq lists it as uncharacterized. NCBI's taxonomy places the organism in Eukaryota, Metazoa, Chordata, Mammalia, Rodentia, Cricetidae. The record is from RefSeq and is a predicted model, not a curated record. The transcript has 4 exons.
GCGGACCGAGGGUGCGGUGAGCACCUGCUGCUUUAUAGGCCCACGGGAGCCACCGCCCGUGACGUCACGGGCCGGCCGUGGGUGGAGGCGGCAGGAGGUUACUACCCCCAAAUGCCGCCGCAGACAGACGGCAGCCCAGCAGCCCGGAGGAAGUGGGAAUCGAGCCCUGUCAACGCGGGGAGAAACUGCCCCACUCCUGUUCUAAACUGGUGUGGUGCCGUGCUUGGGAGCUGACAGCCCAAAGUCCUAGUGUCACAGGGCCUGAAAAAAAACCUCUGCGUGGACGUUGAUGUUAGCGGGAUGACAGACCAGGAGAUUGAAGUAGCAAAGUCCCACGUUAGGACAUAGAGCCCUGAAGAGCAGCGGUGACUUAGUGACCUAAGCUUGAAGACUUUGAGAAGGGUAAACUUGAGAAUAUCUGCUUUUGUGAAAAACAAACCUAUAAGAAUUCUGAGCUGUCUAGAAUGCUGAAGGGAGUGGGAGUGAGUCCGGUCAUUAACACCCCAUCUCAGACAGCUUGCACUGUUGACAUUCCCCCAGCAUCUCUGCUUCAGUUGCAGGACAUGGAAAAAUAAGGUUGUGGCUGAGCAGAAAGUGUCUCCUUCUUGCAGGAUAUCUACUAUAAUGUUAGUUACUACUAAGAAUUCCAGGGAAAGUUAUGGCUCCAGACUCUACUCAGCCUCCAGCUCUGGUGGGGCCAGACAGCAUUGUGAAUUCAAGCCCCUGAAGAAUCAAAGAACAAGGAAAUCUAACAAGAAGAAGAGAGGUAAAGGGAUGAUGAACAUGGUCAUGAUUAAACCAUAUCAUGUGUAUGUUUGAAUGUUGUAACAGAAGCCAUUAUUUGUACAAUUCAUAUAUUUUCUCAAAUAAAAAGGAAAUAAUAAGCA